Molecule: long non-coding RNA, 9634 nt
Organism: Marmota monax (woodchuck)
Lineage: Eukaryota; Metazoa; Chordata; Mammalia; Rodentia; Sciuridae
Exons: 2
Source: RefSeq, a predicted model, not a curated record
CCACGGCCCUAAAUUUAAACAGCUGGAUUAUCAUUCACAAACUGUCUUCUCAGCCUUUUGGAAAUGAGAGACUCCUGAUGAGAGAUGUGCAUUUCAUUUUUUGAACAGGACACAGUGUUCUGGACCUCGUUUAUGCUCCAUGUAAAUAGUCUUUUUUAAGAAGUGUGUGUUUAUCAUAUGCUACUGACACAGGUCACAGUAAACUCAUUUCCAUCAUGGGAGGUUUCCAGUGUGCAGAGGAGGUUCAGAAGAAUACAAGCCUUAUAACAAAACAACUCUGCUUCCAAGUUUUAAAUUCAAGUCAUGAAAAAUGUGGUGUGAAAGCAUUGCUAAAUUCCAUUUUAAACAUCUGAAGCUCAUAGGACAAACUUGGUCAAGGGAAGAGGAAGUGUACAAAAUAAGUGAGCCAAGAGUAGUGGCCUGUCAUCCAAGCCACUCAGGAGGCUGAGGCAAAAGGGUCACAAGUUCGGGGUUAGUCUCAGCAACUUAGUGAAACCCUGUAUCAAAAUAAAAUCUAAAAAGGUCAGGGGCUGUAGAUCAGUGGUAGAAUGCUCCAGGGUUCAAUCCCCAGUAGUGCAAUAAAUAAAACCAAGUGUGUCAGAUAUCAGGACUUAAGUCAGCAGCGUUUUUGCAGAGGAAACCACGCACCUGGAUGAUUUCCUAAAUUCUGUCUCAAUCAGGGAAAGCCAUGUGGAACCUGAAAACCUUGGAUUUAGGACAACUGCAGUAUUUGGGGAGAAGGAGACAUCUUUGCAUCCCGAACCCUACUCUCAGCAUCAAGGUCUUCAGAACCCUCAGGCUGAAGGUCCCAACCUGGAGAUACCAAGCACAGGGAUAUAUGCUGACAUACAAAGAUACCCAGAACAUUUUUACAUCUCUCUUUUUUUUUAAAGUCGAUUAAAUAAGGCUUGCUUCAGGUGCUAACCUGGUAGAAGAUCCAGUCUGAGCCAUGUUUUGGGGGAUCCUUUCUCUGCUCCCCUAUGGUCUCAUGCAGGCAGUCCUGGGCCAAGGCAGUUCAGAGACCCAUAGGAAGGGUCUGUGGUGCCCACCACUGGCCCAGGUGGCCCUCCCCAAGGUGGGGUGCAAUGCUUCUUCCUGACAGAGGCUCAGCUGCAGAUCUGAGCCGAAGAGCUCAGGUUUUCAGGUAGAGCUGGCAGCUCUCCGGGACACAUGUCCCGAGUGCCUGAUCCCAGAUCUGUCAGGCACACAGCAUACAAUGACACCCCCACCCUGUGGAAACGCCCAAAGGCCCAAACCCCAGUCACCACCCCGUCUCCAGUCAGCACCACUGGCCUCUUCCCGUCCACAGCAGCCUCCUGCCUUCCUCGGGGCACCAGCCGGAGCUGGGGAGCAACCCAGCCUGAGAGCUGCCCUCCCAACCAGAGGUAGCAGAGCCCUAGCCCAGGCUGUGCCAACCAGAUGCCCGAGGCCAAGCUGAGUCAUUUCAGCCCAGCUCUUGUCUGUUUUCUUUACCUACUUGCCAACGCUUAAAAAAAAAAAAUCUAGCAAUUUUAACUAAAAUCCAGUUUCCCACCUUCUAGUGAAAAAUAAAACCCAAAGCUAUCCAAUCCCAGGCCUGCAUUCUCAUGUGUCGUGACUUUAGAGCUGACUAGUGUUCCCUGCUUCGCCACAGUCUCCACUGCUCCCCACCGUGGCACAGGGACCCUUCACAGACUCUCUUAGUUGUAGUUGGACACAAUAUCUUUAUUUCAUCGUUUAUUUUUAUGUGGUGCUGAGGACUGAACCCAGGGCCUGGAGCAUGCUAGGCAAGCGCUCUACCGCUGAGCUCAGCCCCAGCCCGGACCUACUUGAUCUUUGUGAGAGUUGGACUUUGCCAUCCUCGAUCUUGGCCUUAAACGUUGGCUGCCUUUAAGAGAUCGGGAAAAGAAACAAUUGCCUUUCAUUCCUAUAAGUUUCUCAAAGCACAAGGCAAAAUUGACAUUCUAAUAGCUCAUCCUCUCGUUCACACCCAGAAGCCCUGACGGGACAGGGAACACUGAGCACCAGCAGCCACAAACCCUGCAGUCACACAUGGGGUCUGCACCUAACCCGUCCAUGUGUUGAAGAAACAAUUCCUCUGACACUUGCUAGAAUGGUUAAAAGGCAGACUUUGCUCAGGACGGUCGCAAUUGGUGUAGGGUCUACCCCACUGGGGUUUUGCAGUCGAGAAAAGACUGGUUCAAGUUCAUACUCAACUAGAGACAGUGAAAAUUUGUAUCUGAGGAAAAGGGCAAGGGGGUCUCAGGGGAUGGUACAUUAAGGUGGAAUCCAGAGGGAGGGGGACUCUAGCUGCCAGACCCAACAGGCUUCUCCAGGAAGGCAGACAUCUCCAGGGAGGUGGCAGGGAGUGAGGAGUUCAUGAGGACUUAAGUCAAAGCUGGUCCCCAUCCUGAGCACCCAGGCCACCAAGAGGCACAGCCCGCAAAUGGAGUCACCCAGGGAACACCCCAGGGAACUAAGCAGUAGGGACUCCACCCUCAACACAAGCAGACUCACUCUCACAUGCUCUGGAAUUUUCGCAGUACCCAGGAUGGGGUCGGGAGGGCGGCAGGUUGGAGGUCAACCCUUCAAAGCACAGGAGGGACUCAAGGUCAUUGCUUGGAGUGGAUGGGCUGUGGGCAGAGUGAGGACAGGGCUCCUUUUAAUGGAGGGAUUUGAAGAAGGAACCAGCUGUUGUCCUGACCAACUCCACUUUGUACCUCUAAUCUCUUCUUUCCUUUGAGCUAUUUCUCCUUCCCAGCUUCCUGCAGGCAAUCACCUCACGCUAGGAGUGGAGACGGCCCUCAACCCCUGGUGCCAGCAGGACCCCAGCAGGAUCCCACAGAGCCAGAGCUGCUGCAGACUCCGGGCUGGCCGUGCUGGCUGUGCAGGUGCACACCUCUGGGCUCCCUCUUGUCCUUCCCCUGGGUGACGCUGAGGCCGGUAUUGGUACAGGGAAGAGCUGGCUUUCUGGUCUGGCCAAACUGAAAUCAAUUCCUUUUCUGCUUCACCACCAUCUUCUCUUUCUGCUAUUUAGACUCUCAAGGUGAUGGCCAGACCUGGUCUGCUAAGGCCUCUGGCCAAGAAUUCUGAUAACAAAAGGAAUAACAGCGACAUUAGCAAGCAUUAAGCACUUUCUCCUUAAAACACUCCACGUAAGUCACUCUGUAAGUACGACUCAGCCCCCAAAUGAGGCAGGUGCUGUGCUAUCCCAUUUCACAGGAAGGAAACUGAGGUUUAAGCAAGGAACACCACUGGCCCUGGCCUUCAUGGUAGUGAAUGGUAGUGUUGGGAUUUGAACCUGAAGCUAGAAAGAACUCAAGGAAAGAGAGACAGAGAAACCAGAAGCCAGAAAGAUGAGAAGAGCCCUGAGAGGGAGGGUGUUUCCUCACCGGGGACCUGUGGAGAGGAAGACAGCGAAAGCAGUACCUGCUGCCCAGCCCUGGCCACCGAGGAUGGGAGGCUGAGCCUCAGAAGGGCCAGGAGAAUGGAGGAAGUGGAGGGGACAUUUCGCUGCACCUGAGGAGCCACGUCAAACCAUAGGGUGGUUAGGAAUGAAGGGCAGGUGAAGACGUAUAGACAGGGAGACCGGGACAUCUCUGCCAAGAAGCUGGGCUGCAGAAGAAAGAUCAGUGUCAACAAGCCCCUUCAACAUGCAAUAUCACCGUCAGGCCAGAAGAGAAGAGUCAAAGUCACCAGGAGCCCAAUCUGAGGUCACCUUCCCAUGACAUGCAGCAGGUUUGCUGUGGUGUGGACCAUUCAUCCCGAAUCCUCCUCUUCUCUAGAUCCUCAGUGGCAUUACUAGAGCAAACCUGAGGUCCCCUCCCACCCACCACCAUGCUGAAAGUACAUUUGCAAGUACAAUCUGGACAGCUCUGUGUGGUGACCCUCUGCGGAGACCAAGUAUGUCCUGCGACCAUCACUCAGUGUGUCUGAACUGCCACGAAUUGCAGUCCCCACACUCUAUGAGGCUCCUAAGACUUCAAAACAUCCACUGAAGACAUUCUCCAUAAAUGUACCAUUUUUGCCUUGGAAACAUCUUCCAUGUUUACAAAUCCAGUCUCCCAGAUCCCUGACCUCCAAGAAGUGAGGUUCCUUUUUUCCCACUUCCCCAACUGGACGGUCUCUCUCUCUCUCUCUCUCUCUCUCUCUCUCUCUCCCUCUCUCUCUCUCUCUUUUUUAGGAUAGAGAUAUGCUCAGGUUUACCUGAGGGGCAUUAAAUAUUAAUUUAAAAAAAAAACAUAAUGAGAAGUCAAGAUAAAGAUAAAUUACAAGAAAAGUGAUACUUUUUUUGCUUCCUCUCCUAUCUUUCUUUUCUUUAAUUUUCACAGUCCUCCUCUCAAGGAAAUCCACAGGGCUGGAAAGAUAGAGGAGACAAAGAGGUAGAGAAAAAUCUAGGGCAAAAACAAAAGUGGAGCUGCGUAGCAGUGUACUUGAAUGCUAAGCGGAGCCCUGGUUAAUCAAACACUUUGAAUGUGAUCCCUAAAACCAAUCUUUUUUUUUUCAUUAAUAGAAAACAAUGCCUACCAUCUGGUACUUUAUAGAAUGAGGGUGAAAUGGAAUUUGAAAACAUACUUUCAAAAAUAUUUUACGCAUAACGGAAGAGACCAAAAAUCUAGAGAAAGUAACUGAAAUAGGCUUCCCUACUUGCUUUUACACACUUGCUGAUGACGGCUUAGAAUUGAGCCUGAGAAAGGAAGGAACAUAAAGGAAAGGGGAGCCUUGCUCUCUAAUCCACCAUCCGUGAGAAUCCUGGGGCAAAGGAGGGACGGCAAGAGACAAGGACCAGUUUUGGGCUCAGGCCAGGGACCCUACUGUCCCUGCCUGGUACCUUCCUUCCCAGAGCAUUUUCCCACCUGCAAAGCUCCUUCCCGCAUCAAGCUCAUCUCGGGAAGGUCAGUUAUGGUGCUGUCAGUCAAAUACUCCCCAGCUUUCCUGGGUUCAGUUACUGCUACGUCUUUUUAGAUGGUAAUUUUAUGAUUCACUCAAAGACUUUCAAAAGAAAGAGGCUUUUAAGCAAUGAAAGAAUCAAUGGGGUUUAAAGUCCUGGCAAGCUGAUACUGAUCAGUCUCAGCAAGGUACAAAAGCAUGCUGCAGAACGGGUUUGGCUUGGAACUGAAACCACAUGUAGAAGAAAAUGUUUGCAAUAGAGGCAGGUGUCACUUCCAGAGGGAACUUAGCAAGGGGCCCACUUCCCAGUACAGUUUAUUUAUCUCAAGAGAUUUCUUCUCCUUGCACCGGCUCAUUAUCACAGAAGACUGGAAAGAAUCAGGAGAUGAAAACGCCCACAUUUAAAUAUUUAAGAUUAGUAUCAAAGCAAUAAAAGUUUUCUAUGAUUGAACCAAAUAUAUUAAGUUUCAGUGAAGAAUUAUUUAUAACCAGGUUCCUGCAAGGCACCCAGGGCAGGAAGUGGUUGAUUCUGCAGACUUCAUUUCUUUAUUUCCCUCCUUCACUUAAAAUAACAUAUUUCAAACAUACCAAAGGCAUAAAAAGUAAUACAAUCAACACCUUUUAUUUUCUAACACCCAUCUUAGGAAACAGAACACACCAAAGCAGUUCCCAGUAUGACCCUAACCCUAGACAGACUUCUCCCCACCCACUCUCCCUUCAGGCAGCAACUCCUGUCCUGAAUUGGUCCUUCCCAGUUCCACAGACUUCUUUUAUUACAUAUGUAAAUAUUGUUAACCACAAUUUAGGCCUUACAAGGUGUGCUUUAGAUCUUUAUUUGCAGAGCUGCCCAAAGGUGUGAGGGGUUCAAGAAGAUAUAUUUUUUUGCAGGACUCCUGUCUACAGAAACAAUUUGAGUUGCCCAAAACAGUGUGACAGUACCAUUCUGGCAGCCCCAUCUAGUGUUCCGCCACCAGCCAACAGCAGCCCCAGCCAACUGCACCAGCCAAAGGGAGCAAUGUGCUCCCAGGGCUUCCUGGAACCUGAGCUGGGCACAUCCAGAGCUGCCUGGCAUCUUUUCAGCCCCAGGAAUUGUGCAGGAGGUAGAGAAGAAGCAGGUCCAUGCAGGUCUCUGUUAAAGCUUACAGCACCUGCCCAGAGAGCGGCCAGGCCCAGCUGGGGAGAAGUGGAACCCAGCACCCCUGCCCAGGCUAAGACAUGCAUACUCUGCCCUUCAUAUUCUGCUCAACAUGGUGAAAUUUGCCCACGCUGGCCGCUGCAGCUCCACUCAGUCAUCACUGUCAUUUAGCAUCCUAGCCUACCAACAGACUCCUUAUUAAUCCAUCCUCCCCAUGGCCGGCAUUUUGCUUGUCCCCAUUUUCCAUUAUGAAAGAAAAAUACUUCGACUCCUCUUCUCCAUGUCUCCUGUAGGAACUGAGGGGAAUCUUAAUCAACUUUCCAGAUUUCAACCAUUUCACUUGCUUUUGGUUACUUGCCUUUAGUUGACCACCAGUUGUCAACUACACUCCGCAAAUAAUAUGCUGUCAGACCCCCGGAAUUUUGCUAUGGUAACACCUCCAAGUGUCAUCCUGAUGGUAAUGGUUGUCAAACUUGUUGUCAGAAACUUGGAGGCCACCUUGAUCCAGCUCAAACUGGUUCAAAGUACUGACCCUUCCCUUGGGCCUAUGCAAGUGUCCCACGGGGACUUCUUUCACAUCAGAGGGCCAAAACCUCCACCGUCAGAUCAUGUUAAGUUCCACUUUCUGAACAUGCAUCCUGUGGAAAGUCGUGAAGUUUAAUUGCACAUGCGCGGACCUAACCUCCAGUCACCUGUCCCCUGCUGUGGACCACCCUGCUUCCCGAUGGCCUAGGUAUCCCUAGUCCUUGUCCUUGGAGGGGCAGAUUUGAGACUUGCCCUCUUGUCUUCUUCGGCUUGUGAAUAAACUUUCUCUUCUCAGAUCUUGUCAUUGUAGUGACCGGUGUCGUGCGCCACAGGCAAAGAGGACCCUGGUUCCAUAACACUGUCACCUUGAGAAAGAAAAUGCAGAUGCUGGUUCCAGGAAGGCAAGGUCCCUCUGGAUGUUCUGGGAAGGAAAAGGAGAGGAAGGCCCUGCCCAGCGCAGGGUUCCUGCCCACUGGCCCACUCGCCAUUCCUGCCUUUUCUCCUCUGAGCCCAGGAAGAUAGAGACUUGAGAUGAAAAAGCCCAGUCUGAUUUUAAUAAAACGAUUUCCUUCCACCGACCUCUGUGUGCCAAGUGAGGAUGGAGCAGAGAGCGGCUCUCCACAUUCGGUCCAGAUGCGGUCGACAGAGGUGGCGUGGGGACCCGGUGGGACCUUUAAGAGGCAGAGAGAGCCUCCAGGGAGGUCCUUAGAUCUCUGGAGGCCUAAGGCAGUUCUGUGAGACCCUGGAGAAGUUUGUUACAAAAAGAGCAAGCCUGUCCCCUCCCGUGCAUUCUUGCUGCUCCCUACCUGUCUGCUACACCAUUUCCAAUACCAAGUAGCCAAAACUGUGAGUUAAAUAAGCCUUUUUUUUUUCUUUAUGAAGUUAGCUGCCUCAGGCAUUUCACUGUAGUGUUGAAAAACUGACUGAUACCGGUUUACACUUAAAAGAGGAAUUAUCUGAUCUUAUGAAAUGUUUAAUAUUUUUAACUUUAUUAGAUAUUUUCCAUUAUUCUACCAAGUGAUUAACAAUUUGUACUCUCAUUAGUAUCAAUUGCUUCAUAUCCACAUCAAUAGCUGGUAUGGUCAGAUUUUGAAUUUUUAUCAGUCUGAAGGAUGUGGAAUGGUAUUUCAUUGCGAUAUUAAUAUUCAUUUUCCUGAUUACUAUUAGUUUUUUAUGUUAAUUUAGCUUUUAAAAAUUUCUUUUAGUGAAUUGCCUAUCUUUCCUAUUAGGUUAUUCCUUUUUAGUAUUAGUUCUUCAUCUAUUGUGGAUAUUUCAUAUAACCUGCUACAAAUAUUUGUUAGUGAAAUGUAUUGCACAUGUCUUCUCAGGGCCAAUGACUAAUUAUUCUUGAAUUUUGUCUUUUUGAUGCACAGGUCUUAAAUGUAAUGUCAAUGAAGUUAUUAAUCUUAUUUUUGUAAUUUAUGCUUUUUGUGACUUGUAAGAAAUCUUUCUGUAACCUGAGGUGAUAAGCAUUUACUUGUAAAAACUGAAAGUUUUUCCUUUCUCUUUUCUUUUUCUUUCUUCCUUUUUUCUUUAUCUUGGCAAUACUGGGGACUGAACCCAUAAACACUUAACCACUGAGUUACAUCCUUAGCCCUUUAUUUUACUUUAAUAUCUUCUUUUGAGACAGGGUCUUGUAAAGUUGUCCAGGCUGCUCUCCAACUUGGGAGCCUCCUGCCCCAGCCUCCUGGGUCGCUGGAAUUCCAAGUAUGUGCUACCAUGCCCAACUUGCCUUUCCUUUUGAGACCUUUAAUCCACCUUGGAAUUGAUUUUUACUCACAAUAUGGAGAUUCAAAUUUAUUUUUAACCAAAUGAGUAGCCAACUGUGGGACACCUCUGUUGUUCUGUCCCCACUGACAUUUCACACCUCUCUUUGGUUACCAGUGUCCAUAUAUGCACGAGUAUUUUUCUGUGCUUCCCACUCUAGAGCAUUCGUCUACUAGUCUAAGUCAUCACCAAUACCACUCUCAAUUCUUAGACUACUCUAAUAAUAGUUACACUUGGUAGAGUAAUCCCAAAUCUGUGCUUCUUCUAGCUAUUUUCGGUUCUUUGCUUUUCUACAGAAAUGUAAAGUCAACUUUUCAAGAUCCGAGAAAUCUGAGGGCAGUGACCCACACCUACCAUCCCAGUGACUCAGGAGGUUGAAGCAGGAGGAUUGGAUUGUACAUUCGAGGCCACCCUGGGCAAGACCCACAGCAAGUUAGAGAGACCCUGUCUCAAAAUUUUAAGAAAUAGAAUAAAAAUGAAUGGGGAUGUGGUUCAGUGGUAAAGUGCCCCUGGGUUUGAUCCCCAGUACCAAAAAAAGAAAAACGUAAUCCAGAUGGUCUUGGGGAUGGUCUUUAGGAAACUGUGUCUUCUUGUCUAUUGGCCAGGUGUGUGUUUUCUCAUCUUUUCACUUUUGGCCUUUUGCAGUCUCUGUAAAUAGCAUCAAACAGACUUGUCACAAGCUGAAGACCUGUUUUUAGAGGCAAGUAUGAUCUAUCAAUAUUAAGGUGGAUUUGGAAUUAUUUCCUAUUUGCUUUCUUUUUCCCUAACUUAUUCUAUAUUCCUACUUCCACCACCGCCUUAUUUGGAUUGAUUGAGGAUUUUAUUUAGUUGCUUUUCCCACCCACAUUGGAUUCAAAUGUACAUACUUUAAUUUGAUGGUUCUGAAAUGUUAGGGCUCAGAAUUCCCUGCAGGGAUGCUUAAAACAGAUUGCUGAUCUCCACUGCAGAGUUUCGAAUGUAGGUUGCUGGGAUGGAGCCAACAAUUUACAUUUCCAAAAUCAUCAUCAUCAUCAUCAUCAUCAUCAUUAUCAUCAUCAUCAUCCCUGCUUCCUACAGGUAACCAUCUCAUGCUGAGAAGAGAAGCUGAAUGGAAACUGCACCCCCAUCCCAGAAGUCCUGGGAUCAAUGGAGCCUGCAAAACCAAAAUAGCAACGUGCCUCUCAGCUGGAAGUUCCCACAGCUUGACACGAUAUACAUACAUGUAUUUCUUGGCUCCCUGCUUUUGUUCUCUUCCUAUAUAUUCCUAAAGCUGAUAUUGGUUCAGGGAAAACAGAUAUUAAGACUGGCUAUCUUCUGAUUUGAGCCAAACUGCAAAUAAAUUCAUUUCUUGAUUCACCA